CCAGCAAACAGUUGGUUGAGUUAGGUCAAGGUCUAGCAGUGAAAGCUUUGGGAAAAAAAUGUCUUCCCUGGAGUUUUUCUGCUAGAUAAGUUAGGCAGUCUCAGAUACGCUUUGGUGA
RNAcentral lists this microRNA precursor (118 nucleotides) under Mus caroli (Ryukyu mouse). RNAcentral's name for it is "microRNA 6379 (MGP_CAROLIEiJ_G0007803.1)". Lineage: Eukaryota; Metazoa; Chordata; Mammalia; Rodentia; Muridae. The record is from RNAcentral.